RNAcentral lists this ribosomal RNA (486 nucleotides) under uncultured bacterium. RNAcentral's name for it is "partial 16S ribosomal RNA". It matches the Rfam family "Bacterial small subunit ribosomal RNA", at positions 30 to 507 of the family's 1533-position model. The record is from RNAcentral.
AUUGAACGCUGGCGGCAUGCCUUACACAUGCAAGUCGAACGGCAGCGCGGACUUCGGUCUGGCGGCGAGUGGCGAACGGGUGAGUAAUACAUCGGAACGUACCCUGUUGUGGGGGAUAACUAGUCGAAAGAUUAGCUAAUACCGCAUACGACCUGAGGGUGAAAGUGGGGGACCGGAAACGGCCUCAUGCAGCAGGAGCGGCCGAUGUCUGAUUAGCUAGUUGGUGGGGUAAAGGCCCACCAAGGCGACGUUCAGUAGCUGGUCUGAGAGGACGAUCAGCCACACUGGGACUGAGACACGGCCCAGACUCCUACGGGAGGCAGCAGUGGGGAAUUUUGGACAAUUGGGGCAACCCUGAUCCAGCAAUGCCGCGUGUGUGAAGAAGGCCUUCGGGUUGUAAAGCACUUUUGUCCGGAAAGAAAUCGCGCUGGUUAAUACCUGGCGUGGAUGACGGUACCGGAAGAAUAAGCACCGGCUAACUACGUG